GCACCGUGAACUCAUCCUGUCCCUGCUGUGUAUCGUGCAGGGGAAGGUCACUCAGUGCUAUAAUAAUGCUGAGGAAAUCCAGAUGGAGCAUAUGCCUUGUGUUCUGUCUCUACACCUUUGCCACAUGC
This is a small nucleolar RNA of Pseudophryne corroboree (corroboree frog), 128 nucleotides long. RefSeq annotates it as small nucleolar RNA SNORA55. NCBI's taxonomy places the organism in Eukaryota, Metazoa, Chordata, Amphibia, Anura, Myobatrachidae. The record is from RefSeq and is a predicted model, not a curated record. The transcript has a single exon.